UACGUAGGGUGCAAGCGUUAAUCGGAAUUACUGGGCGUAAAGCGCGCGCAGGCGGCUUUGCAAGUCAGAUGUGAAAUCCCCGGGCUUAACCUGGGAACUGCAUUUGUGACUGCAUGGCUGGAGUGCGGGAGAGGGGGAUGGAAUUCCGCGUGUAGCAGUGAAAUGCGUAGAUAUGCGGAGGAACACCGAUGGCGAAGGCAAUCCCCUGGGCCUGCACUGACGCUCAUGCACGAAAGCGUGGGGAGCAAACAGG
RNAcentral lists this ribosomal RNA (253 nucleotides) under uncultured bacterium. RNAcentral's name for it is "partial 16S ribosomal RNA". It matches the Rfam family "Bacterial small subunit ribosomal RNA", at positions 524 to 776 of the family's 1533-position model. The record is from RNAcentral.